Molecule: ribosomal RNA, 253 nt
Filed under: uncultured bacterium
Lineage: Bacteria
Description: partial 16S ribosomal RNA
Rfam family: Bacterial small subunit ribosomal RNA
Source: RNAcentral
UACGAAGGGGGCUAGCGUUGCUCGGAAUCACUGGGCGUAAAGCGCACGUAGGCGGCUUAUUAAGUCAGGGGUGAAAUCUUGGAGCUCAACUCCAGAACUGCCUUUGAUACUGAUGAGCUUGAGUCCGGGAGAGGUGAGUGGAACUGCGAGUGUAGAGGUGAAAUUCGUAGAUAUUCGCAAGAACACCAGUGGCGAAGGCGGCUCACUGGCCCGGUACUGACGCUGAGGUGCGAAAGCGUGGGGAGCAAACAGG